AGAGAACAAACUACCAAUUAACGAGCGAGGAAACAGGGCCAGAGAAUUGGAACAAAAUACAAGGCUGCCUCUGAAAGGAAUAUCUUUGUGCUGAUGUGUCCAUCAAGAGAACAUACACAGAAGUGACACUUGCCAGUAAUUUGCAAGCAGAUGGAACUUCAAUAUGGCAAUAGAGAAAGAAUCAAUUAGACCAGAGUCUCCUCAGGAAGACUUUCUAUAGGUGGACGGUCCCCUGGAGAGCCCGCUGUGUUGGAAGAUGUAGAAUAUUCAUAUAUCUGGUGAGCAUCUGCUAGAUGCCAGGGUUGGGGAGAGUCAAGUUGAAGCAAGCAUGAACCCUCAAGGACCUACCAUUUCAAGGCAAGAAAUAGAUACAAAUACAGCGUAAUUAUCUCUCCAAUUAAAGAGCAACCAAGGGACAACUGAACUGGAGGUUCUGCAGAAUUACAACUAAGCACGCAGCCGAGGAAUCUACUCAGCUUUGAUCUCUUAUCGCUCUGCACACACAGCCCUUUCUCUGUAAGGCUAGCUGCUCUCAGCAUCACUGUGUCUAAUCAAACGUGUCACACCUCCACUGAGAAAAUAUUUACUGGAUAGCUACUAGACAUAAGGAUGCAGAAAUGAAUUAGAAAAAUUCCUCGCCCUUGUUCAAAGCUAUGCUGGCUCUUAGAACAUCUGAGCCCCCACUGUUUCAUCUUUAGAGGAUCCCAGCUGCUGGGGUGUGAGGCCAGUGCUGGAGCCAGCAGUCUCUGACCCAGAAGGGACCUGAGGUGCUAAAGAAAAACACAGAGAGGACGGUGCCACUGGAAGUCAUGCAGCCGCAAGUCAAGAAAUGUCAUGAGUGGCUCCUCUCCAGAAACUAGGAGAGGAGCAUGGGGCAGGUUUUCUCCUAGUGCCUUCAGAGACACAUGGCCCUGCCGACACCUUGAGUUUGGAUUUUUGGCCUCCAGAACUGGGUACAAGCUGGAAAAGGGGAAAAUGAAUCAUGCUACAGGCCAAGUGUCCAUCACUGAUUCCCAGAGAUGCCCUUUGUGUGGUAGGCACUUCCAUGUGGACUCGCUACAGAGUUUGGAGUUCCUGAACAACAUGGACAGUGUUAAUUUGGAUUCCAUGCUUCAUGGCACAGAAUUGGAGCACUAACUACUCAGUGAUGACUUUCUCUUCCUCUAGCUAAGGUGAUCAACAAGUUUCCUUGUUCUUUCUCCAAGUAGUAGAAGAAAGUAAAGGUCAUAAGACCCUAAUUCCAGAGGGCCCUACCCUAUAACCAGAAGGAAGAACUAUUGCACAGAGAAUCUAAGAAGAAUCUAGACAGACAGCCCUUGCUGGAUUUCUCCACUCUGUUAGCAUUCGAUCAUUUGCCUUUUGUCCAGUCAUAUUUCUGCAUGGCUGUCCAUACUUUGUUGAACCUAAGCACAAAAUGGAAAGUUUUCCCUGUAUCUUUGGGUCGUCAU
Molecule: long non-coding RNA, 1448 nt
Filed under: Homo sapiens (human)
Lineage: Eukaryota; Metazoa; Chordata; Mammalia; Primates; Hominidae
Description: HSALNT0405876
Source: RNAcentral